GUAGAGUGACUUGCCCCACAAGUUUCCAUCGCAGCUACGCAUAGCCCCCAUCUAGUAUCAACUGCAUUAGACCAAGGUGCGUUGGUUUUAUUUGCUGAGGGGACAUAAAUAUGAUGAUUCUAUGAACGCGUUGAGUUUAUUGAUGGUUUUGUGACUUCUUUUUUGUGCUAAUAUUUAUUUAUUGGGCCAUAACGGGGUAAUAAGCGAUUCUAUAACUAAAUUCAUUUGGCCCAAUUAUAAACCCACCAAAGUAACCCCAUUAGCGACCGAUCGACCUACCCACCGGCCAAUAUUACUUUAUCUACCCUUUGGUCACGGUAUCGUCUCCAUUUAUGGCUGCUUCUCGUGGUGGUCCUACGACUUGAAGUGGAAAGCAUCAACCCAUGCUUUAUUCACAAUUAUUCAACAAAACUCUUUUUCAUUUAAUUUUAGUAGCAAAGUGACCAUUUUGUAUGAAAGUUCACAACUCUUUGACAAAAUUGCUACGCAAUAUAUGCAAUAAAAUACAACUGUUGCCAAAUGUCGACAGUGCCGAACUAUGAUUACAAGUAGAUAAACGAUAACGCAUGAUUACAAAUACCUCAUUUUGCGCAUUGUCAGAACUUCCUUGCCAAGUAUUUUUUUCCUUUCUAUGUUUUUUUUUUUCUGAACAAAUCCUUUCUAUGUAUUAUUAUGUUGUUUGGCUAAGAUUUGGCCACGUGUUCAGUUCUCAUUUGGUCUUAAUAGAUACUCAUGGAGCCCACUUGGAUAGACUCAUGGACAAGCUCAUGUGAAGACAUAGCAACAUCAACCACAAAGAGAGAGUAACAAAUACAGAGAGAGAAGUAGAGAGAGAGAAGAGAAGAGAGAGAUGGCGUCAAAGCUCUGCGACUCGU
This 875-nucleotide long non-coding RNA is filed under the name Brassica napus (rape). RNAcentral describes it as "long non-coding RNA (BNAP_LNC000265)". The record is from RNAcentral. Lineage: Eukaryota; Viridiplantae; Streptophyta; Magnoliopsida; Brassicales; Brassicaceae.